This 468-nucleotide long non-coding RNA is filed under the name Anser brachyrhynchus (Pink-footed goose). RNAcentral describes it as "lncRNA (ENSABRG00000012351.1)". Lineage: Eukaryota; Metazoa; Chordata; Aves; Anseriformes; Anatidae. The record is from RNAcentral.
CUCUUCUUUGCACAGCAGCAGUAUCUUGGAUCACUGCUGAACCUCUUCUGUGGUUGCUGAAGAGGACUCUUGUGUGAUUAACUUUCUAAGUAAGAUUCUCAUAACAAAUCCAUCACUCCUACUUUGCUGCAUCCCUGCCCUUGUAAAGCUUUGUGUUUUUUGACAGUGGGAAAAAAAAUUCUUACUUUAGAAACAUCCCAAUUUGAUCAGCAUUGGCAAGAGGAAACAAGCUUACGAAAACUGAUUUAUUUAUUUAUUUAUUUUAAAUCAGAUGGGAACCAUCAGCACCAGUCCAUGCUGGAUCCAGGCAUUGCCACAUACAAUACAGACUGCCUCUGGAGAGGGGAAGAAGUCUGAAGACUCAAAAGACUAGUGAGAGAGUAAUCAUUGGUUCACACUGUUUCCCUUCCAGCAACUUGCUGUAAGCAAGAACAGAAAAAAAAAAUAAAUAAAUAAACACACAAGACA